RNAcentral lists this long non-coding RNA (210 nucleotides) under Elaeis guineensis (African oil palm). RNAcentral's name for it is "long non-coding RNA (EGUI_LNC075261)". The record is from RNAcentral. Lineage: Eukaryota; Viridiplantae; Streptophyta; Magnoliopsida; Arecales; Arecaceae.
GUGGGGUUUUGAUUUAUGAUUUGUUUAGAUUUAAUUUUGAAUUAGAAUUAAUGCAAGAAUAUAAUUUCGAAUAAUAGGUACUGAAGAAUCUCCUAAAGGUUAAUCAAUCUGUUUAUUCAGUGGUCUAUAAAAAAUAAAUAAUGAAUCAUCUUUUCAAGAUAUUUCAUAUUUAUUUUGAAAGUAAAUAAUUAUUCUUAGAAUUAUACAUGA